This is a non-coding RNA of Potamilus streckersoni, 75 nucleotides long. Lineage: Eukaryota; Metazoa; Mollusca; Bivalvia; Unionida; Unionidae. The record is from the annotation of a GenBank genome assembly.
GUUCCGGUGGUCCAUUGGUUAGAGCGUCCGCCUCUGAUACGAUAGAGAAAGUGGGUUCGAACCCCGGUCGGAACA